This 2193-nucleotide long non-coding RNA is filed under the name Theobroma cacao (cacao). RNAcentral's name for it is "long non-coding RNA (TCAC_LNC003826)". Lineage: Eukaryota; Viridiplantae; Streptophyta; Magnoliopsida; Malvales; Malvaceae. The record is from RNAcentral.
GGUGGUGAGCUUUCUGGUAAAAGUAAAGAGAUAGUACCCGAGGAUCAAGAAUCGAAGUACUCAAAAUUUGACUCCCGAAAUAGUGAGUAACCUUACUACCGUCUUAAUUAUCUAAAGUAAUUUUUAUUCGUUUUUGUGAAUUUUAUGAAAAAUGAGUUUAAAUGGUAAAUCUUUAUGUUUUAUAAGCAAAAUGUGAUUAAAUGAAAUGAUUUUAUAAAAUUGUCUUGAAAUUGAAAGAUGGUUUUGAAAAUGGAGUAAUUGGAGACUAAUUGCUGUGUUAAAAAUCAUGGUUUGAAUUGAAUGGCUUAUGAUAAUAUUGGCAUGAAUGGUUGGAUUUGGUAAAUGCGUUGAAAAAGUAUGAACUGUUGAUUUGCCUUGAAAGGUUGUAAAAUAAAAUAAGUGCCAUGUCAUGCUGUUGAAUUUUAUUGAAUUGGUGGGUUAUAAUUGGUCGUUGCAGUGGACGAGUUCCGUGUACUAGCCUAUUAGAGGGGCACAGUAACCCUAUUAUAUUCAUACCUCAGUAUGAGAGGCACGGUUGGAUAACUCCUGAGGUUAAAACUUUAGAGUUCACUUCACACCAAACCACCACGUGAGAGUGAACUCAGCCAACGCCAAGGAAUGGCUAUGUUUUCAAAAUAAAAACAUGAUUUAUGCGAACAUGACUUUUUAACAGCCUUGGCGGACUUGGUUGGGAUAGCCCUCAGCCAAGGUAUCCCUGAUAACUGAGUAUGAGAAUGAUUUUGGAACAAGCCAAACUUUUCAAGAAAUCAUAAGCCUUGUUGUUUAUUUAGGUGAAAUGAAUCUAUUUUAUCUUAUUAAAAUGAGUUCGAAAUGUUGUGAAUCAUUUUUAUGCUAAUCUAUUUUAUCUGUCUCCAUUUACUCAACUUUAGAUAUUUUAGAUGGUAUAUGUUUACUCACUGGGAUUAUAUAAUCUCACCACCCUCCUUUUCACCCAUUUUAGGCUCAAGAUAGUCGGUAAAUAGCUCAUUUCGUUGAGGGCUACAGUUGGACUUGCAUCCUCAAAAACUGUAGGUUUACCGCUUUUAAUACUUUUGGUCUUUCAUGGGCCCACGUGGUAUUGUAAAUUAAAUUUUAUGCUUUGGUUAUCUAUAUUACAGUAUGUAUGAAUUUAUUUAGCUUUUACGCUACAAAAAUUAUUUAUCGGGAACUCUAUAAAUAUUAUUUUAUAAAAAUAUAGAAUAUUUUAUUGAAUAUUUUUAUUAUAUUCAAAUAGUUAUAGUUUCACUUUAAAUGAAUGUUUUAGACAUCUAAACUUAUUUUUGAUUAUGAAAUAUGUGUUUUCCACUUGCAUGCUACAUUUUUAGCUAGUUUUGAGAUUUUCGAGGAAACAUGACCAAAAUGCCCCUGUGAGAAAAAAAUUAUUUAUCUAUUGUUUUGAUUUGGAAAUAGUUUAUAGUCUCUCAAAUCAUGAUACUUAACAACUGUUGCUCACUGGGGAGGUGCGAAAACUAAUAUUAAAGCCUUGUGAGAUUUCGGUUGGCAUUCCGAGCAAUGAAUGUCUAUCAGAACGUCGCGGUGGUUGUCACAAGCUCGAGAGGAGUACCGGGUUGGGACAAGGCCACUUGUCUUUCUCCUUUUCUUGUGUAAUCCUUUUACUCUUUUGCCACCGGGAAUAGGUCCAAAAUCCUCUGAAAGAGGUCCCUUAAGUAGCCCCCAAAAGUCCUAGCUUCAAAAUCCCUUAAACUUGUUAUUUGUGGAAAUUACGGUGAAGGCUGCGGCUCUCAAUUUCCAACGUCGCAGUGCUCAAAUGUUCUGUCCAACUCUGUUCUUUUGGCACAGUACUUUCACCUUGACAAAGGUUUUUGACCACCUUCCCUUCAAAAUUGGGCAAAGUGGUAAACAUCAAAGUUGUAGCCCUAACUCUUAGCUUUCUAAUGGUUUAAAACUCAUGUCAUUUUGACUGUUGUAGUAGGAGAUAUGCUUGAAAAACCGAAACAUAUGCAAAUAGAGCAACAGCCCACUAUGUACCUUUCUUCACCAAUUGAAAUUAUGUUUUGAUCCUACUCCUAUAACGACUUAAAAUAAUUAUAAGUAACAUAAAACUAACAUCAUUAGCUCAAAUUAAACCUUUAAACAUAAGUUCUAUAUAAUACCCAAUACUUUGAUAUGGUGACUAAUAAAGCUUAUUGGAUGCCAAUUGAGGCAUAAUAAGGUAUUUUUGGUACUAAGGAG